CGCGUAGGCGGCCCGUUAAGUGGCUGGUGAAAUCCCGCGGCUCAACUGCGGGGCUGCCGGUCAGACUGGCGAGCUAGAGCACGGUAGGGGCAGAUGGAAUUCCCGGUGUAGCGGUGGAAUGCGUAGAGAUCGGGAAGAAUACCAGUGGCGAAGGCGUUCUGCUGGGCCGUUGCUGACGCUGAGGCGCGACAGCGUGGGGAGCAAACA
RNAcentral lists this ribosomal RNA (207 nucleotides) under uncultured bacterium. RNAcentral describes it as "partial 16S ribosomal RNA". It matches the Rfam family "Bacterial small subunit ribosomal RNA", at positions 568 to 774 of the family's 1533-position model. The record is from RNAcentral.